This 71-nucleotide transfer RNA is filed under the name Loxodonta africana (African savanna elephant). It matches the Rfam family "tRNA". Rfam says of the family: Transfer RNA (tRNA) molecules are approximately 80 nucleotides in length. Their secondary structure includes four short double-helical elements and three loops (D, anti-codon, and T loops). Further hydrogen bonds mediate the characteristic L-shaped molecular structure. tRNAs have two regions of fundamental functional importance: the anti-codon, which is responsible for specific mRNA codon recognition, and the 3' end, to which the tRNAs corresponding amino acid is attached (by aminoacyl-tRNA synthetases). tRNAs cope with the degeneracy of the genetic code in two manners: having more than one tRNA (with a specific anti-codon) for a particular amino acid; and 'wobble' base-pairing, i.e. permitting non-standard base-pairing at the 3rd anti-codon position. The record is from Rfam by way of RNAcentral. Lineage: Eukaryota; Metazoa; Chordata; Mammalia; Proboscidea; Elephantidae.
ACAAUGGCAGUUCAGUGGUAGAAUUCUUCCCUGCCAUGGAGGAGACCCAGGUUCAAUUCCUGUCCAGUGCA